AUGGUCCCAUCGUGGACCGAGGCUGGGGCACGUCUUCUGGUAGCAAGAUUUCUUAACCGAUCGAUAUCCAUCGGUAACUUGAUAUUGCUCGAAGACGGAGGCAGCAUGCUUAGAUUUGGAAAUGCUACUGGCAAACACCAUGUAAAAUUAGUCCUGCGAGUUCAUGACCCAAUGUUCUAUUGGAAGAUUGCAACAGAAUCUGACCUUGGUUUGGCAGAUGCCUACAUUAACGGCUGGUGCUCUUUUGAUGAUAAGAAAGAAGGUCUUCUGAAUCUUUUCCUGAUUUUCAUUACCAACAGAGGUGCACCCAAGAGCAGUAGCAGCAUUGUCAGGAAAAGGGGUUGGUGGACACCUAUGCUUCUUACCGCUGGGCUGGCAUCUGCUAAAUAUUUUCUGCGCCACACCUCAAGGAAGAACUCUGUAACACAAACUCGUCGAAACAUCUCACAACACUAUGAUCUGAGUAAUGAUUUCUUCUUGCUUUUUCUGGACAAAACGAUGACAUAUUCUUGUGGAAUUUUCAAGAGGGAGGACGAAUGCUUAGAAGAAUCCCAGAUACGUAAACUGAACCUUCUAAUUUACAAGGCUAAAGUUGAGAGGGAUCAUCAUGUCCUUGAGAUCGGCAGCGGCUGGGGCGGCUUAGCAAUACAAGUGGUCAAGCAAACUGGCUGCAAAUACACUGGAAUAACUUUGUCGGAGGAGCAGCUUAAAUUUGCUCACGGAAAAGUUAAGGAAGCUGGCUUAGAGGAUCAUAUAACUUUCCUGCUGUGCGACUAUCGUCAGAUACCAGCUCGCAAAUAUGACAGAAUCAUAAGCUGCGAGAUGAUCGAACAUGUUGGCCAUGAAUACUUGGACGCAUUUUUUACCUGCUGCGAGUCUCACUUGGCUCAAGAUGGCAUUUUUGUCCUACAGGCCAUCACCAUGCCGGACGAACUAGGAAUACAUUAG
RNAcentral lists this ribosomal RNA (948 nucleotides) under Triticum aestivum (bread wheat). RNAcentral's name for it is "partial small subunit ribosomal RNA". The record is from RNAcentral. Lineage: Eukaryota; Viridiplantae; Streptophyta; Magnoliopsida; Poales; Poaceae.